This 459-nucleotide ribosomal RNA is filed under the name uncultured bacterium. RNAcentral's name for it is "partial 16S ribosomal RNA". It matches the Rfam family "Bacterial small subunit ribosomal RNA", at positions 338 to 795 of the family's 1533-position model. The record is from RNAcentral.
CCUACGGGUGGCUGCAGUGAGGAAUAUUGGUCAAUGGACGAGAGUCUGAACCAGCCAAGUAGCGUGAAGGAUGACUGCCCUAUGGGUUGUAAACUUCUUUUAUAUGGGAAUAAAAUGUUCCACGUGUGGCAUUUUGUAGGUACCAUAUGAAUAAGGAUCGGCUAACUCCGUUCCAGCAGCCGCGGUAAUACGGAGGAUGCGGGCGUUAUCCGGAUUUAUUGGGUUUAAAGGGUGCGUAGGCGGGCUUUUAAGUCCGCGGGAAAAAUUCGGGGCUCAACCCCGUCCGGCCGUUGAAACUGGGGGCCUUGAGUGGGCGAGAAGUAGGCGGAAUGCGUGGUGUAGCGGUGAAAUGCAUAGAUAUCACGCAGAACUCCGAUUGCGAAGGCAGCAUACCGGCGCCCGACUGACGCUGAGGCACGAAAGCGUGGGGAUCGAACAGGAUUAGAUACCCUGGUAGUC